This 284-nucleotide ribosomal RNA is filed under the name uncultured Actinomycetales bacterium. Its description in RNAcentral is "partial 16S ribosomal RNA". It matches the Rfam family "Bacterial small subunit ribosomal RNA", at positions 504 to 785 of the family's 1533-position model. The record is from RNAcentral. Lineage: Bacteria; Bacillati; Actinomycetota; Actinomycetes; Actinomycetales.
UGUGCCAGCCGCCGCGGUAAUACGUAGGGUGCGAGCGUUGUCCGGAGUUACUGGGCGUAAAGGGCUCGUAGGUGGUUUGUCGCGUCGUCUGUGAAAUGUCCGGGGCUUAACUCCGGGCGUGCAGGCGAUUCGGGCAUAACUUGAGUACUGUAGGGGUAACUGGAAUUCCUGGUGUAGCGGUGAAAUACGCAGAUAUCAGGAGGAACACCGAUGGCGAAGGCAGGUUACUGGGCAGUUACUGACGCUGAGGAGCGCAAGCAUGGGUAGCGAACAGGAUUAGAUAC